AUUGAACGCUGGCGGCAUGCCUUACACAUGUAAGUCGAACGGCAGCACGGGUGCUUGCACCUGGUGGCGAGUGGCGAACGGGUGAGUAAUACAUCGGAACAUGUCCUGUAGUGGGGGAUAGCCCGGCGAAAGCCGGAUUAAUACCGCAUACGAUCUACGGAUGAAAGCGGGGGACCUUCGGGCCUCGCGCUAUAGGGUUGGCCGAUGGCUGAUUAGCUAGUUGGUGGGGUAAAGGCCUACCAAGGCGACGAUCAGUAGCUGGUCUGAGAGGACGACCAGCCACACUGGGACUGAGACACGGCCCAGACUCCUACGGGAGGCAGCAGUGGGGAAUUUUGGACAAUGGGCGAAAGCCUGAUCCAGCAAUGCCGCGUGUGUGAAGAAGGCCUUCGGGUUGUAAAGCACUUUUGUCCGGAAAGAAAUCCUUGGCCCUAAUACGGUCGGGGGAUGACGGUACCGGAAGAAUAAGCACCGGCUAACUACGUG
RNAcentral lists this ribosomal RNA (486 nucleotides) under uncultured bacterium. RNAcentral describes it as "partial 16S ribosomal RNA". It matches the Rfam family "Bacterial small subunit ribosomal RNA", at positions 30 to 507 of the family's 1533-position model. The record is from RNAcentral.